This 2226-nucleotide long non-coding RNA is filed under the name Homo sapiens (human). RNAcentral describes it as "HSALNT0317987". The record is from RNAcentral. Lineage: Eukaryota; Metazoa; Chordata; Mammalia; Primates; Hominidae.
CUUUGGGUGAAUGCAAUCUAAUUAUUGGGCAACACUAUUAUUGUCCCUCUUUGAUGGAUGGGGUAGCCAGGUUUGGGGGUGUAGUAGUCUGUUUUCACACUGCUAUAAAGAACUGCUCGAGACUGGAUAAUUUAUAAAGGAAAGAGGUUUAAUUGACUCACAGUUCCAUAUGGCUGGGGAGGCCACAGGAAACUUACAAUCAUGGCGGAAGGCAAAGGGGAAGCAGGCACCUUCUUCACAAGGCAGCAGUAGAGAGAAGAGCAAAGGGGGAACUUCCAAACGCUUAUAAAACCAUCAGAUCCUGUGAGAACUCACUCACUAUCAGGAGAACAGCAUGGGAGAAACUGCCCCCAUGAUCCAAUCACCCCCCUCCCUCGACAAGUGGGGAUUACAAUUUGAGAUAAGAUUUGGGUGGAGACACAGAGCCAAACCAUAUCAGAUUUUAGGAUCCACCCCAAUUGUGGCAGUGAUGGGUGGUGGAGCUGGAAGCCAGGUCUGACUCCCACUCCUGUGCUCCUCCCAUUCUGCCACAUGGGAAAGUCUGCCCCACUUCAACCAUUCCUGUCCUCAGCAACAUGACUUGACUGGAGGACUUGUCACAGCAGGGUACUGUCAUCAUCAUUGAUAAGUAACCAUGACAAGCAAGAAUCACCCCAGCACAUGACUCAAUAAUGCCUCACAGAUCAUAAAGCCCCUUCCCACCCACUGUUUCCUCUGAGCCUCACAGCACCCUAUGAGAUGGGCAGGGGAAUUUCUUUCCUGCCAUUCUGCCUAUGGGGACACAGAGACCUUGGAAUGUCAAGUGACUUCUCUGAGGCUACACGGCUAGGAGGUGGCAAAAGCAGGAAGGAACUGGAGCUAAUGUCUGCAUCUACAUCAUGAUUGGCCCAAGACACUAGCACCCUCAACCCCCAAGCUUUCUAUGUGGUAUUGGCAAGACAGCUCACUGCUGGAGAAACCAAUCCUGGAGGAAAUUCUGCCAUGAACAGGGAGCCUCACUCCCUCAACAGUGAUGAAUGACUUUCAUAAACAUGAAUAGUUUCUGAGAAGGUGUCCUCUUGCCUGGGGUCCUACUUCAGAUGGCCAAGUCAGAAGGACAUAAUCCCACUGCUGGGAAAUCCAGGCCAGGUCAGACUCCAUAACAUGCUUUAAAAUGUGAGAGCCCCAGUCUGCUAGCAUGGUCUCAGAGAUGGAGGGAGCCACAGCCUCUGAGUAGAUCCUGACCCAGCAUUCCAUGGCAGUAUCCUUUGGAAAGAAACUUUCACCAAACCUGAUGGGAACCUCUCCUCAAGGACUGCUAAGUCAGGAAAUGGGGUAUGCAGGGUCUGGAAGUUGGAAGCUGGCCGCAUCCCCCAAAUGAGCAGGUCCAAGACACUUAUUCAUACAUCAGGAAAACCAGGGUCCAGAGAUGGAGAGAAAUCCAAGGCUUGGAGCCACUUGGAUGGUCACCCAGGGCCAUCAGCAUCUACUAGCCAGGAGGAGGCUGGGACAUUCGGGAGGCAAUGGAGAGAAGGAAAUAGAAGGAAGAGGGCUGGGGCUCCCAGCAGUCUAAUUACAGGGUCCCAAGGCCCAGCAGUCUUUCAGGGAGAAAAAUCGGUCGGACUUGGACAAAUCAGCUGCACAGUGUUAACCUUCCAGAGACUGAACUCUCUCCCCAUUUCCAGGAAUCUAAUCUUUGAUGUAUCUUUGAAUAACUUUAAAAAAAAUAAAUCCUGAAUAAUCUUAGAUGAUUGUAAGGAUCUGGGUAUAUCACCACCUCUCCCCACAUCCCCUGCUUGCCUCACUUCCACACCUCCCUGCAGAUGUACUUGCAAUAGGGGACUCAAAGCGGAAAGCUGUCAAAGGAUUUCAUUAACUGAAAUAUGACGGUAACUUCUCAGGUCUUUCUGGUCAUUGUGGCUCACACCUGUAAUCCCAGCACUUGGGAGGCCAAGGUGGGUGUAUCACCUGAGGUCAGGAGUUCGAGACCAGCCUGGGCAACAUGAUGAAAUCCCGUCUCUACUAAAAAUACAUGGUGGUGCAUGCCUGUAUUCACAGCUAUCUGGGAGGCUGAGGCAGGAUAAUCACCUGAACCCAGAACACUGAGGCUGCAGUGAGCUAAAAUCCCACCAUUGCACUCUAGCCUGGGCAACAAGAGCAAAACUCCAUCUCAAAAAAAAAAAACAAUUUCUCAGGUCUCUUCCCAAUUCCAUCUCUCUCUCCUACCACGUGACUACAGGGUAAUUG